GGGGAAUUAACUCAGCUGGUAGAGUAUCUCCUUGACGUGGAGGAAGCCAUGGGUUCGAGUCCCUUAUUCCCCA
Molecule: transfer RNA, 73 nt
Filed under: Anoxynatronum buryatiense
Lineage: Bacteria; Bacillati; Bacillota; Clostridia; Eubacteriales; Clostridiaceae
Description: alkaliphilic bacterium Su22 tRNA
Rfam family: tRNA
About the family: Transfer RNA (tRNA) molecules are approximately 80 nucleotides in length. Their secondary structure includes four short double-helical elements and three loops (D, anti-codon, and T loops). Further hydrogen bonds mediate the characteristic L-shaped molecular structure. tRNAs have two regions of fundamental functional importance: the anti-codon, which is responsible for specific mRNA codon recognition, and the 3' end, to which the tRNAs corresponding amino acid is attached (by aminoacyl-tRNA synthetases). tRNAs cope with the degeneracy of the genetic code in two manners: having more than one tRNA (with a specific anti-codon) for a particular amino acid; and 'wobble' base-pairing, i.e. permitting non-standard base-pairing at the 3rd anti-codon position.
Source: Rfam by way of RNAcentral